RNAcentral lists this ribosomal RNA (278 nucleotides) under uncultured bacterium. Its description in RNAcentral is "partial 16S ribosomal RNA". It matches the Rfam family "Bacterial small subunit ribosomal RNA", at positions 506 to 784 of the family's 1533-position model. The record is from RNAcentral.
UGCCAGCCGCCGCGGUAAUACUUAAGGUGCCAGCGUUAAUCGGAAUCACUGGGCGUAAAGCGCUCGUAGGUGGCUUUGUAAGUCAGAUGUGAAAGCCCACGGCUCAACCGUGGAAUUGCAUUCGAUACUGCAUCGCUAGAGUAUAGGAGAGGGAAGUGGAAUUUCUGGUGUAGGAGUGAAAUCCGUAGAGAUCAGAAGGAACCCGGUGGCGAAGGCGACGUCCUGGACUAUUACUUGCACUGAGGAGCGAAAGCGUGGGGAGCAAACAGGAUGAGAUC